Molecule: ribosomal RNA, 544 nt
Rfam family: Bacterial large subunit ribosomal RNA
ACCUCUAGCAUAAAAAGUAUUAGAGGCCCUGCCUGCCCAGUGACGUACGCUUAAACGGCCGCGGUAUCCUGACCGUGCAAAGGUAGCAUAAUCACUUGUUCCCUAAAUAGGGACUUGUAUGAACGGCUUAACGAGGGUUCAACUGUCUCUUACUUCCAAUCAGUGAAAUUGACCUCCCCGUGAAGAGGCGGGGCUACAUAAAUAAGACGAGAAGACCCUAUGGAGCUUAAAUCUUACAGUCUAAAUGCACCAACAAUGACCCCCGGGCCUAAACACAAUGCUCACAGACUGGAAAUUUUGGUUGGGGUGACCUCGGAGCACAAAACAACCUCCGAAUGAUAUUACUCCAGACACACACGUCUAAAUCUUCGUUCAUUAAUUGACCCAAACUUCUUGAUCAACGGAACAAGUUACCCUAGGGAUAACAGCGCAAUCCUACUCGAGAGUUCAUAUCGACAGUUAGGGUUUACGACCUCGAUGUUGGAUCAGGACAUCCUAAUGGUGUAGCCGCUAUUAAUGGUUCGUUUGUUCAACGAUUAAAGUC